UGACGAGCUGCUCUGCGUGGAGUGUGCUGAGACAGUAAACCGUGCCUGGCGUCGUCUGCAGCUCCAGCUGCUCAGCAAGCGUGGAGCUGUGUCCUGCUGGUGGGUCUCCGUCACCAGCAGGUGAAAGGAGAAGGCCGUUGGCUCUGGAGGGCCUGGGUCCCUGAAGUCAGGAGAGCCUGAAACCUCAGCUGCUGCUGCUUUGCCAAAUACACAUCCUGAAAAUACCGAUGGUUCUGGAAUCAGGGUCUUCUCAGCAGGUUAUUGGGUGUCAGCCUAUGAGAAACCAUAGUGUCGUUCAUCACCCUGUUCCCCUCCUGCGCUGUAAACCUUGGCUCUCCAAGAGCGGAUGACAGACAGGGGUGGCCUCGUGAGAGAGAAGACCGCGCAAUUGCAUCCAGGCCCGCGGCCCAGACAGCGUCUCCCAGCAUUAACCCCCUCAGACAGCUUUCAGCUCCUUGGGGCAGUGGGCUGGACGCCGAGGAAUUCAAGAGGAGGAGACACUGCUCUUCCCAGUCAGAGAGAAGCAGAUAUCUACUUACAAAUGCUGGACCAUUGUUUCUCUCUACUGGAUAAGAAGUUAAUGUUUUUCUCUGAAGUAUAA
RNAcentral lists this long non-coding RNA (601 nucleotides) under Bos grunniens (domestic yak). RNAcentral describes it as "lncRNA (ENSBGRG00000022256.1)". The record is from RNAcentral. Lineage: Eukaryota; Metazoa; Chordata; Mammalia; Artiodactyla; Bovidae.